This 503-nucleotide ribosomal RNA is filed under the name uncultured bacterium. RNAcentral describes it as "bacterial SSU rRNA". It matches the Rfam family "Bacterial small subunit ribosomal RNA", at positions 15 to 518 of the family's 1533-position model. The record is from RNAcentral.
GAUCCUGGCUCAGGAUGAACGCUGGCGGCGUGCUUAACACAUGCAAGUCGAACGGAGUUUUUAAACGGAAGUUUUCGGAUGGAAGUUUAGAAACUUAGUGGCGGACGGGUGAGUAACGCGUGGGUAACCUGCCUCAUACAGGGGGAUAACAGUUAGAAAUGACUGCUAACACCGCAUAAUAUAGCGAAACCGCAUGAUUUUUGCUAUCAAAUAUUUAUAGGUAUGAGGUGGGCCCGCGUCUGAUUAGCUAGUUGGUGGGGUAAAAGCCUACCAAGGCGACGAUCAGUAGCCGGCUUGAGAGAGUGACCGGCCACAUUGGGACUGAGACACGGCCCAAACUCCUACGGGAGGCAGCAGUGGGAAUAUUGGACAAUGGGGGAAACCCUGAUCCAGCGACGCCCGCGUGAGUGAAGAAGUAUUUCGGUAUGUAAAGCUCUAUCAGCAGGGAAGAUAAUGACAGUACCUGACUAAGAAGCCCCGGCUAACUACGUGCCAGCAGCAGC